UGAAUUUUCGGGAUUUAAGUUGUUGUUUUCUUAAAUAUUGCUUAAUUUAUUAACGAAAACAUUUUAAUAAGAUGUACAGUAACGUUUAAAGCUGCUACCAAAGUAAAAUAACAAAGUGAGAUGUAUUCUCCUCGACAAAAGAUUGUGUGGUUCGCCUUCAGCACCAGGAUUGUAGUGCUGCUUCUGCAAGCUUUAUUUAACAAUCUUAUUCCGGAUCAUGAUGCCAAUGUUUUCAUCAGUCCUGAAGACCCAACACUUCGCAAAACAUUUGCCGAUAUAGUAGUAGAUAAAGUUCUCGGUGGGCUAAAACGAUGGGAUGCUCAGUAUUUCAUACACAUCGCACAGUAUGGAUAUACCUAUGAAAAUUGUUUAGCAUUUUUUCCACUAUUCCCCAUGAUUGUAAGAUAUGUAGCCUAUGGCCUGUGUAGUUUGUUUGGGUCCUUGUUAAAUUAUCACAGUACAUUGAUGAUAUCAGCAACAGUUUUAAAUCUGUUAAUGUUUGUAAAAUCUGCAGAUAUUUUACAUAGAAUAAGUUUGAGAAUACUUAGAAGUGAAUGUAAAGCAUAUAAAUCUGCUAUAUUGUACUGUGUUAAUCCAGCAAGUAUAUUUUUUACUGCACCUUACUCUGAAACACUGUUUGCUUUGAUGACAUUUUAUGUAAUGCUGAAAUGUACUGAAAAUGAAACAUUAAGAUUUGCCAACAUUGAUAUUAGUAGUGGCUUGCCGACAGGCUUUUCCAUGAUCACUAGGUCCAAUGGUUUAGUUAAUUUAGGAUUCAUAUUUUAUACAAGUUUCAAAAAUGUCAUAGAGAGGACUCUGCCUGAAAUUGCCUAUAAAUAUAGAACCUUGAAACAUAGAAUAAUUCUCCCAUUUCUGUUGUUACCGUUGCUUACAACUAGUGUAGCAUUAUUUUUGACUGUGAUAAUUGCUAUACUGCCAUUCCUGUUGGUUCAGACUUACAACUACUUCAAGUAUUGUGUUCAUAGUGAUCACAACCUACCAGAGUUUCUGUUCAACUCUGAAUAUGUUUUGCCGGGGAGUGCAGAGAGUCCUUGGUGCAAUUACUCCUUACCCCUGUCUUACUCUUAUGUGCAAAGCCAUUACUGGGAUGUUGGAUUUUUUAAAUAUUACCAAUUGAAGCAAAUACCCAAUUUCAUGUUAGCUUUCCCUAUUUUGUUUCUAAUAACUUACAAUUGUAUGUCAUAUUUAAGUAACAAUUUUAGACUAUGUUUAAGACUUGGAAUAAAAUCAAAUAUAUUUGGAUAUGGAAACAGGAUGCCUUAUAGGCCAAAACAAUACUGCAAAGGUUUUGGGGCCAAUGAUCCUACCUUGUUUGUAUAUGUAGUUCAUAUAAUGUUUUUGAGCAUUUUCUGUAUUAUAUUUAUACAUAUUCAAGUGUCAACAAGAUUAUUAGCAUCAGCUAGUCCAAUUUUGUAUUGGAUCUGUUCAAGUAGAAUGAAUGUUGGUCCAACACCAACUUCAGACCAAAAUACUAUUAAUGAACAUUUUCGGCGUCUUGGAAUCGGGAAAAGGAUUCCAUCUCACCAUCUCUCAAUAGCCAAUUUAGAGGGUGUUGACAAUAUGUAUAGCAAAUGGAAAACAUUCAUAAUAUCUAGAAGGAUGCCUGAUUUUCAAUCGCGCUUAAUACAAUAUUACUUUAUUGGAUAUUUUGUAAUAGGCACAGUACUAUUUUCAAAUUUCUAUCCGUGGACUUGAAGUGAUGUCGUCAUAACAAAACAUAUCAAACAGACGUAUCCAUAACAAAUAUUCAUAAAAGUUAAUUAACUAGGUAGCAAUAGAAACUACUGUGGUAGGAGGUUGAACUUUCGCUUUUAUUAAGAGUAGGCGCACACCGUUGAUUUUUCGUCGGCCGAUAGUUUAGUCGGACUGUUGAUCAGUAUGGGCAUGUAUGGGAGUGCGCACACUACACCGAUUCGAUUUGGCCGAUUCUUCAUACAAUUUGAAAUCGGGCACAACUAUCGGCCAACUAAAAAUCAACGGUGUGCGCCUACUCUAAAGGAUCGUGAUAUGAACAGAAACAAACUAUUAAAGGUAUAGAUUUUGGUCUGUGAUUGGUCGAAACUAGGCUAUUUACUAGAUUGAAAUCUAUUCAUAGCUUGAUUCGAGUUUUACCCUCUAUAAUAGUGAUAUUGUGAAGACAGUACCUAAGUACAUACCUAAUUUAUUUGAUUUUCUAUUAUAUGAAGUAUUAUUCCACAUAUCACGUGCUAUAGCUACUGCUGUUCAUUAUUCUUUAGGACAUGCCAUUUUAUCUUAACCAAAAUUAAAUUUGAAUGAAGUAGGGUAGUAUGAUAGCAUGCAUGCAAUGCACUCUGUAUUUGUGGCAAUACACACAGUUUGAGCCACUGUAAAAGCCAUUUUUAAUGUACAAAUUAAUGCAGUUAAAAAAGUAAGUUUUUAAAGUUAUGAAUAUUGAUAAUAAUGUGCCUGUACACAGUUAAUUAUGGAAUCUUUGGCGAUCAGAUGAAAUUGGCUCAUUUCAUAGCACCUACCUACCUAAAAAUAAGUAUUGUAAGUUUCUUCUGCUUGAAGUUAAUAAAGAAUGGGGCCUUUCAGAGUUAGUCCAUUUAUAUUCUAGUUAUAAAGAUUGCCUUUUAAAGAUAUUCUAGUCAUAAAUUGAAAUUCUAAAUAAUAUAUUACGACAUUGGUAAAAAAAAAUUGCGGACUUAAGACCUUUAUUAUUUUAAAUAAAUUAACGGUCUUAAAGCGUCUGUAUCACUUUGCAAUACUACCCUUUAAGUGGA
RNA transcript from Ostrinia furnacalis (Asian corn borer), 2765 nucleotides. It is a transcript of the gene named phosphatidylinositol glycan anchor biosynthesis class V, with no coding region annotated. The transcript has 2 exons. Lineage: Eukaryota; Metazoa; Arthropoda; Insecta; Lepidoptera; Crambidae. The record is from RefSeq and is a predicted model, not a curated record.